AUGCAGAGAACCUCUGCUGGUCAGGGUUGGUGUGGAGGGAGGCAGGGAGGGAGGGCGGGCAGCCAGAGAUGCCAGUCUGUUCUCAGGAAGAUCAAGAGCUGUGCACAGCACACGUUGAGAAAGCAAGCCACCAGUGUCACUCUACGACAACUCGCUCUUCUCAGCCACCAGUGUCACUCUACGACAACUCGCUCUUCUCAGCCACCAGAGUGUCACUCUACGACAACUCACUCUUCUCAGCCACCAGUGUCACUCUACGACAACUCGCUCUUCUCAGCCACCAGUGUCACUCUACGACAACUCGCUCUUCUCAGCCACCAGUGUCACUCUACGACAACUCGCUCUUCUCAGCCACCAGUGUCACUCUACGACAACUCGCUCUUCUCAGCCACCAGAGUGUCACUCUACGACAACUCGCUCUUCUCAGCCACCAGAGUGUCACUCUACGACAACUCGCUCUUCUCAGCCACCAGAGUGUCACUCUACGACAACUCGCUCUUCUCAGCCACCAGAGUGUCACUCUACGACAACUCGCUCUUCUCAGCCACCAGAGUGUCACUCUACGACAACUCGCUCUUCUCAGCCACCAGAGUGUCACUCUACGACAACUCGCUCUUCUCAGCCACCAGAGUGUCACUCUACGACAACUCGCUCUUCUCAGCCACCAGAGUGUCACUCUACAACACAACUUGGAUCCUAUCCCUGAACUGGUUAAAGCCCUUCUGUGGCUUCUUCAUGUGCUGGAAGGCCAUAUUUCAAAAGAAAUUGUUCAUCUGA
This 777-nucleotide long non-coding RNA is filed under the name Callithrix jacchus (white-tufted-ear marmoset). RNAcentral's name for it is "lncRNA (ENSCJAG00000071961.1)". The record is from RNAcentral. Lineage: Eukaryota; Metazoa; Chordata; Mammalia; Primates; Cebidae.